Non-coding RNA from Vicia faba (fava bean), 192 nucleotides. Lineage: Eukaryota; Viridiplantae; Streptophyta; Magnoliopsida; Fabales; Fabaceae. The record is from the annotation of a GenBank genome assembly.
AUGAGAAGAGAAUGGUUGAUUGGAAUUUUAGUUUUCGGCAGAUAUCAAAAACUUAUUCGAUUGGGUCGGUUAAGAAGAUUGAUGAAAGGAAGAAGAAGAAAGACGAGGGAGGAUUUAUGUCUGAAAAAUGAGAGAGGUAAAAGAGAAGGUGUUAUGUGUGAGAGAGAUACAGAGAGAUGUUGUAUGAAAUGA